GCCGGCAGCUAGCACUCUGCAACUCUCACAUGGUCGCCCACUGAAGCUAAGCAGGGCUGCGCCCGGUCAGUACCUGGAUGGGAGACCACAUGGGAACGCUAGGUUGCUGCCGGAA
Non-coding RNA from Danio rerio (zebrafish), 115 nucleotides. NCBI's taxonomy places the organism in Eukaryota, Metazoa, Chordata, Actinopteri, Cypriniformes, Danionidae. The record is from Rfam.